AAUCAACGCUGGCGGCGUGCCUCAGACAUGCAAGUCGAACGCGAAAGUCCCCCUUCGGGGGGACAAGUAGAGUGGCGCACGGGGUGAGUAACACGUAGGUAAUCCACCUUCGGAUGGGGAAUAACAACCGGAAACGGUUGCUAAUACCGCAUAAUGCAGCGGCACCUAAUGGUGACAGUUGUUAAAGCGGGGGAUCGAAAGACCUCGCGUCUGAAGAGGAGCCUGCGGCGGAUUAGCUAGNGGUAAGGUAACGGCUUACCAAGGCGACGAUCCGUAGCCGGCCUGAGAGGGCGGUCGGCCACACUGACACUGACAUACGGGUCAGACUCCUACGGGAGGCAGCAGUCGGGAAUUUUGGGCAAUGGGCGAAAGCCCGACCCAGCAACGCCGCGUGAAGGAU
This 400-nucleotide ribosomal RNA is filed under the name uncultured bacterium. Its description in RNAcentral is "bacterial SSU rRNA". It matches the Rfam family "Bacterial small subunit ribosomal RNA", at positions 32 to 409 of the family's 1533-position model. The record is from RNAcentral.